This 3553-nucleotide ribosomal RNA is filed under the name Plenodomus lingam (blackleg of rapeseed fungus). Its description in RNAcentral is "eukaryotic LSU rRNA". It matches the Rfam family "Eukaryotic large subunit ribosomal RNA". The record is from RNAcentral. Lineage: Eukaryota; Fungi; Ascomycota; Dothideomycetes; Pleosporales; Leptosphaeriaceae.
ACAACUUUUAAUAAUAGAUCUCUUAGUUCUAGUAUUAAUAAAGAACGCAGCGAAAUGCGAUAAGUAGUGUGAAUUGUAGAAUUUAGUAAAUUAUUAAAUCUUUGAACGUAUAUUGCGCCCCUUAGUAUUCUAUAGGGCAUGCCUGUUUAAGCGUUAUUUGUACCCUUAAGCUCUGCUUGGUGUUAGGUGUUUGUUUUACUUAGGACUCGCCUUAAAACAAUUAGUAGCUAGUAUAUUAGCCUAGAGCGCAGCACAUUUUGUGCCUCUUGUUAUAGUUAUUAGCAUCUAUUAAGACACUUUUUAAGCUCUUAACCUUAGAUUAGGUAAGGAUACCCGCUAAACUUAAGUAUAUUAAUAAGCGGAGGAAAAGAAACUAAUAGGGAUUGCCCUAGUAACGGCGAGUGAAGCGGUAAUAGCUUAAAUUUGAAAUCUGGCUCUUUUAGGGUCCAAGUUAUAAUUUGCAGAGGGCGCUUUAGCGUUAGUAGUGGUCUAAGUUCCUUAGAAUAGGAUGUUAUAGAGGGUAAGAAUCCUAUACGUGGUUGCUAGCCUUUGCUAUAUAAAGCCCCUUUAACAAGUUAAGUUAUUUAGGAAUGCAGCUCUAAAUAGGAGGUAAAUUUCUUCUAAAGCUAAAUACUAGCUAGAGACUAAUAGCGCACAAGUAGAGUAAUUAAAAGAUAAAAAGUACUUUAGAAAGAGAGUUAAAUAGCACGUAAAAUUGUUAAAAGGGAAGCGCUUGCAGCUAGACUUGCCUGUAGUUGCUUAUCUAGGCUUUUGUCUAGUGCACUCUUCUAUAGGUAGGCUAGCAUUAGUUUAGGUAGUUAGAUAAAGGUCUCUGUUAUGUACCUCCCUUUAGGGAGGCCUUAUAGGGGAGACGACAUGCAACUAGCCUAGACUAAGGUCCGCGUAUCUGCUAGGAUGCUGGCGUAAUAGCUGUAAGCGGCCUGUCUUAAAACAUAGACUAAGGAGUCUAAUAUCUAUGCGAGUGUUUAGGUGUUAAGCCUAGACGCGUAAUAAAAGUAAACGGAGGUGGGACCCCUUUUAGGGUGUACUAUUAACUAAUCCUAAUAUCUUUAGAAGGAUUUAAGUAAGAGCAUAGCUAUUAGGACCUAAAAGAUAGUGAACUAUGCUUAAAUACGGUAAAGCUAGAGGAAACUCUAGUAGAGGCUCGCAGCAGUUCUAACGUGCAAAUUAAUUGUUAAAUUUAGGCAUAGGGGCGAAAGACUAAUUAAACUAUCUAGUAGCUAGUUCCUACUAAAGUUUCCCUUAGGAUAGCAGUAACGUAUUUAGUUUUAUAAGGUAAAGCGAAUAAUUAGAGGCCUAGGGGUUAAAAUAACCUUUACCUAUUCUUAAACUUUAAAUAUGUAAGAAGUCCUUAUUACUUAAUUAAACGUGGACACUUAAAUAUACUAUUACUAGUAGGCUAUUUUUGGUAAGCAGAACUAGCAAUAUAGGAUAAACUAAACGUAGGGUUAAGGUGCUAGAAUGCACGCUUAUUAGAUACUACAAAAGGUGUUAGUUUAUCUAGACAGUAGGAUAGUAGCUAUAGAAGUUAGAAUCUACUAAGGAGUGUGUAAUAACUUACCUACUAAAUAAACUAGCCCUAAAAAUAGAUGGCGCUUAAGCGUGUUACCUAUACCCCGCCGCUAGGGCAAGAUUUAAGCCCUAGCAAGUAGGCAGGCGUAGAGGCUCGUGACGAAGCCUUAGGGGUAACCCUAGGUAGAAUAGCCUCUAGUGUAGAUCUUAGUAGUAGUAGCAAAUACUUAAAUAAGAACUUUAAGGACUAAAGUAGGGAAAGGUUCUGUGUAAAUAGCAGUUAGACACGGGUUAGUUAAUCCUAAGAGAUAGGGUAAUUCUAUUUUAAUGUCGGCGCUUACACCGCGCCCUUAAAAGGGAAGCUAGUUAAUAUUCUAGCACCUAGAUGUAGAUUCUCUGUAGCAACGUAACUAAGAGCAGAGACCUUAGCAGGAGCCCUAAGAAGAGUUCUCUUUUCUUCUUAACGGUCUAUUACCCUAAAAUUAGUUUAUCUAGAGCUAGGGUUUAAUAGCUAGAAGAGCGCUGCACUUUUAUAGCGUUUAGUGCGCUCCUAAUAAGCCUUAAAAAUCUACUUAAAGAAAUAGUUUUUACGCUAGGUCGUACUUAUAACUAUAGCAGGUCUCUAAGGUAAAAAGCCUCUAGUUAAUAGAAUAAUAUAGAUAAGGGAAGUUAGUAAAAUAGAUCUAUAACUUUAGGAAAAGGAUUAGCUCUAAGGGUUAGGUACGUUGGGCCUUAGGGAGAAGCCUCUAGCGUAGAAGGGCACUAACCAUAAGGUGGGCGCCUCUUAGCGCUAGGGUGCAGACACCCUUAGUAGAGUUUUAGCUAUCUAGCGUAUAUUUAAUAACUAACUUAGAACUAGUAUAGAUAAGGGGAAUCUAACUAUCUAAUUAAAACAUAGCAUUGCAAUAGCUAGAAAGUAGUAUUAACGUAAUGUGAUUUCUGCCUAGUGCUCUAAAUAUUAAAGCAAAGAGAUUUAACUAAGCGCGGGUAAAUAGCGGGAGUAACUAUAACUCUCUUAAGGUAGCUAAAUGCCUUGUUAUCUAAUUAGUGACGCGUAUAAAUAGAUUAAUGAGAUUCCUACUAUCCCUAUCUACUAUCUAGCGAAACUAUAGCUAAGGGAACAGGCUUAGCUAAAUUAGCGGGGAAAGAAGACCCUGUUAAGCUUGACUCUAGUUUAAUAUUGUAAAAAGAUAUAGGGGGUGUAGAAUAGGUAGGAGCUUUAGCACUAGUGAAAUACUACUACCCUUAUUGUUUUUUUACUUAUUUGAUAAAGUGGAGCUAGGCCUUACUACCUAACUUCUAGCGUUUAAGGUCCUUUGUGGGCUAAUCUAGGUUAAAGAUAUUGUUAGGUAGGGAGUUUGGCUAGGGCGGCACAUCUAUUAAACUAUAACGUAGGUGUCCUAAGGGGGACUUAUAGAGAAUAGAAAUCUCUAGUAGAGCAAAAGGGCAAAAGUCCCCUUGAUUUUGAUUUUUAGUGUGAAUACAAACCAUGAAAGUGUAGCCUAUUAAUCCUUUAGUCCCUUAAAAUUUAAGGCUAGAGGUGCUAGAAAAGUUACCACAGGGAUAACUAGCUUGUGGCAGCUAAGCGUUUAUAGCAACGUUGCUUUUUAAUCCUUUAAUAUUAGCUCUUCCUAUUAUACUAAAGCAGAAUUUAGUAAGCGUUAGAUUAUUUACCUACUAAUAGGGAACGUAAGCUAGGUUUAGACUAUUGUAAGAUAGGUUAGUUUUACCCUACUAAUAACCUUGCCCUAAUAGUAAUACCGCUUAGUACAAGAGGAACCGUGGUUUUAGAUAAUUAGUUUUUGCGGCUGUCUAACUAGGUAUUGCCGCGAAGCUACUAUCUACUAGAUUAUAGCUAAACGCCUCUAAGUUAGAAUCUAUGCUAGAAUAGGGUGAUUUCUGCCUGCACUAGUUAGAUAUAAAUAGGCCUUUGGCCUAGAACCUUACUAGAUCGGCGUUAGCAGCCCUAUUGAAGUUAGAGUUGUUAGCUAGUGUAUUAUAAUUGUAUAGUGCGCAGGAU